AUUGAACGCUGGCGGCGUGCUUAACACAUGCAAGUCGUGCGGUAACAGGCGUAGCAAUACGUGCUGACGAGCGGCGAACGGGUGCGUAAUACAUGGGAAUCUGCCCUUUAGUGGGGAAUAACCCGGCGAAAGCCGGGCUAAUGCCGCAUAAGAUCUUCGGAUGAAAGCGGGGGAUCGUAAGACCUCGCGCUGAUGGAUGAGCCCAUGUCGGAUUAGCUAGUGGUGAGGUAAAGGCUCACCAAGGCGACGAUCCGUAGCUGGUCUGAGAGGACGGCCAGCCACACUGGGACUGAGACACGGCCCAGACUCCUACGGGAGGCAGCAGUGGGGAAUAUUGGACAAUGGGGAAACCCUGAUCCAGCGACGCCGCGUGUGUGAAGAAGGCCUGCGGGUUGUAAAGCACUUUCGGUGGGAAC
Molecule: ribosomal RNA, 416 nt
Filed under: uncultured bacterium
Lineage: Bacteria
Description: bacterial SSU rRNA
Rfam family: Bacterial small subunit ribosomal RNA
Source: RNAcentral